Molecule: non-coding RNA, 5571 nt
Organism: Marmota flaviventris (yellow-bellied marmot)
Lineage: Eukaryota; Metazoa; Chordata; Mammalia; Rodentia; Sciuridae
Source: RefSeq, a predicted model, not a curated record
AAGGAAUGCAGAGCCUAUGGAUUCACUCUUUUUUCUUGAUGCUCUUUUAAAACUCCAAGAAAUGAAUGUUGUAGACCAUUCUUAACCCACCAGGGCAAAGAGGGUUGGAGAGGAAACAGCAGUGGAGGAGAGUUUUUAAACCAGCUUUUAGAAGAAGAAAAGCAGAAGUGGGAUUGACUUGGUGAAGCAGAGGAAGUUAAACUGAGCUUAGAGAACCACCGGGCAGGAAGGACAGUUUGCCCUGAAAGUGUGAGAGGGAGCCGCCGAGCCUCCUGGGCUGGGGUCUGCCCAGCCCACCAACACGCCCCGGCUCACACAACCCAGGAAAACACAGAAGCAAAGGUGGGAGCACGUUGCCCUGCGCAGACAGAGUGCUGUCCAUGUCUGGGAAAGGAAGUGCAGUCAAGCACCAGCCACCGAGCUGGAGAGUCUCCGAGAGCUGAGGUCGCGGAGCGGAAGGAAAGAGGAGCCAAGGUGCAGACCAUCAGGCUCCAAUUCUGGAGCAUCGACCUCCUGAGACCUCCUCUCACGUGACCCCACAGCCAGGUGUACACGGCCAGACGCUGAGCCUGUCGGGAAGCAGAAACGGACAGGGCCUCGGGGGAGGACUGGCUGGGAGCAGGGGCCGCACAGACUGUACGCAGCCAGCUGCACUGGCCAGCUGGGCUCCUCCCGUUUGCUGUAAGUACCCACGGUCAGUCCUGUGUCUCCAGGACCAGAAACUGCAGAAACAGAAGAGCCAAAGAUCAGACGUUCUGAGAUGGUCAAGAAAGUUCUAGGCAAACAAAGCUACAGUGCAGGCCACAGGGUAAGAAGCCAGGCCAGAGAGGGCAGAGCCGGAUCCAGAAAGUGAGGCUGUUAGGGAAAAAGUGACUGUUGACAUGGGACGGGCCAGACAAUUCCACAGACAGCGCAUUUGAUGUGGUGACACAGCACCCAGGAAGCAGUGACUGGAGUCACGACUUUCACCUUCAGAGGGAGAGACAUUCACUGCUAGGAAGAGGUCUGACCAGAGGAAGUUCUGCGCUCAACAGUGAGUGAUGUUGGAGCGAGGGUCCUCCCCAGAGGCAGGAAGCCUGGUGCUCCGUCCUGCUGGGAAAGGUGGGGACCUGCAUCUGCAAAGCCUCCAGCUUUCAAUACGUCCACCAAGAGGAAGCUUUAGGAUUUACCCCAAGGAACCAAAUGUACACGGGCCCAAAGAUGUAAUGUGCGCACGUUUGUUGGCGUAUCAGAAUAGUAAGAGUAAUAGUAAGGGAAUGCAACCUGAGACUGCUAGACGACUGAAUACCAUACAAUAUUUACUCAAGAAAAUAUUCACAAUGCUCCUACUUCUAAAAACUGCUUAAAAAUGGGACUACUGUAUUAUUUUUAAUGACAACAGAAAGAGAGACAGAGACCCGAAAAAUUCUCUCAGUAAUAUUGGAAGGUAGGAUUAAACUGGAGUUGUAUCUUCUUUUUUCUUGUCUACUUUGCAAACCCCAAAGCCUUCUGUAUAUAUGCACUAGCUCUUAAAGCUGCCACAAACAGAAGGAACAGACCCUUCUAAAUCCAUAAUUAGAAAAUAAAAACUGAGAGGGAGCCGCUGAGCCUCCUGGGCUGGGGUCUGCCCAGCCCACCAACAUGCCCAUAAUUAGAAAAUAAAAACUACGUUCAAGAGAGAAAGGCAAGAGGAUAGGAAGACGGCAAGGUCCCGGGGUAAUCUGGGAUGGUGGGAGCAGCGCUCUGCAUAACCUAGGGCCCAGCACAGGUGAGUGGCCACUCACCUGUCCUCCCAGCCAGUAUCUUGACCAACUUGCCACUCCCUGUGGUUCCUACCAGAGCAGCCGCCUGACCCACAGGUCAGACAUGGAAGCAAGCGUGAGCCACCUUCUGAGGUUUGUUUUCUUAGCUUGCAACCUCCUGUAGAUCUAGACCUAAGUGUGCAAGGGCUUUCCCAGCUCUGUGGAACCGGGCACCACUGGGAGGGUCACACUCAGGGUCACCACAGGGGGGACCGAGGGUGGACACCCAUCCGUGUUUUGUUGCUGAUGUGCAUAUUUAACGUCCUGUCUGUGAUCAGGGCUCAGCCAACUGCUGGGCCACAAAAUAAUGACAUCGUGACACAGCACAGAGAAAAGGACAUGAAGGAAGGAAACCACCAAGUGGUCUGAACCUUAAAAUGAAUUUUAUUUUGUGUUUUAAUCUGCUAGCAUUCUCUGUGACAAUUUAAAAUACCAAUCUGGUGAUGAAAGGGAAGAAAGGAAACUUCAUGUAAGAACAAGGCACAUGACCGGGUCUGGAGGAGGGAGAGUCUCCAGCAGAAAUAUUUCCCAGAUGUGACGUGGAAAGAGCUGCCAUCAUGCAGCUGGCUUGGAAAAUGGGGCGAUGCAGGUUUAAGAAAUUACAGUCCUUUCUAACAAAGCAGAAUAUUCAGAAUAUGGGGCAAUCAGUAGAGUCUUAUGUUCAUGUAGAAAAAACUAAAAAGUGAUGCGAAUUCCUACAAGUGAGGAAUGAAAAUGUAUUUCAAACAGACUCCCAACAUGCCCACCUCCUCCCUGAGAGCCCACAUCUGAGCAGACACACAUGCUGAAGGCACACGCGAGUUAGACCGCACAUCCAGGGGAAGCCAGCAGACACGAAGAGCCCAGGUCACCGAGAUUACAUUCGAAAUUUCGAUUUAUGUGAAGGAGUAAAAGAGAAAAGAUCCCCACCAAAAGCAGAUUGGAUUUCCCAAACUCCCAUGUCCCCGCUCUUUGCUCUGUUGGUGUAUUCGGGUGACUUCCUGUCAGAGAGGCUGAGGGAGCUCUGAGCUUGGUGUUUCCACGGUGCCCUGGAGGUGGGAAUUUCGCCCUGGAAUUCUGCAAAGGCAGCCUCUUCCACCUGGUAGUCGGCUCUGCACCUUCUCGAGCCACAGAAGCUGAGCCUGGCCCCAAGGCAGCAUGUGGGUGACGGCCAAGCUCACCCAGGCUGGGGAGAGCAUCAGCACUCCCCGGGGCCUUCUGCAGAAGGGAAGCCUCAUGCCAGCUACACCCACAGCGACCCCAGCUGCAUGCCCCCCAGGAAGCCCACAGUCCAGCCUGCAGGUGCAGCAAGUGACCACAGGGACAGCAGUGGUCUCUCCAGGGUAGCCAGUUUCUGCAUGAAAGCGGAUGCCCCCAGGACUGUAGAGCAACAGGACCACCAAGGGUGCAGGACCCCACAGGCGGUGCCUGCCUGCACUGGAAGGCAGGGAUGCGUCACGCCACCUGGCGGAGAGGGCCUUGCCAUGAGGGUCUGCCUGCAACUUCUGGGAGCCGAGCUCCUGCGUGAACUAAUAAAGUAGACGAGCGAGCACCCUGCAUUAACACGGGGGCUUCAGAGGACACCCACAUCUGAGCCGUGGCACCCUCCACCACGGCCCAGUAACUCUCCUCUAAUGUAGUUCGACGUUUUGACCUGCUAAACAGACCCUAAAUGGAGCAACCCAGCCAGACACAGAAGAUGGUGCACGUUCAUGCACAGGUGAGAAGCGCAGGGGAAGGGGAGCGGCUGCCUGGCCUCCCGACCUUCGCUGCUCCAGGUGGAUGCUCUCCUGAAGGACUGCCGUUCAGGUGGUCAGCUCCUCUGCCUAGUCAGGGCCAACUGCCUGCCUGCCGUGCUCUCUGUUAGUCUUUAGGUCACCAGCAACUGGCCUGCUUUGUCCUCAUGUCCACGACCUCCCUCCCCUGCCUUGCAGGGCCUCUGGGAAGCCAUCUUUUGCCCAGAUAUGCUCAUGUGUGCAGUUCCCGAGCUCGGGACCACUGUGUGUAUCCCCGUUUGUCGGAGGCAUGACCACAGUGCCCUGCUCUAUGCCAACAACCUGCCAUCCACCGAAUGCUGAGAUCCUUCUUCUAAAGUGACUUCCAGAAUCCAUGCACAUGUCUGAAAAUGUCUAACUGAUCUGAUUAGAGUUUGGUGAACCCAGGAAGAAAGUCAAGCUCUGCGGCAUCAGUUGGUGUAAGAAAGAUCGGGGUGAAAUGGUGGGGCUGGCCUCUUGUCUUUAUAAAGAAUAUGCUUAAUAACGUCACAACCCGGACGUGCCAGCACAGCGGCGUAUACCACGGGCACUUUGAACUGAUGUUUUCAGGGUCUCCAGGGCUGACUCGCAGACUUUGUCUCUGACUGGAAACACUUGCCCCUGUCCUUCAAUCUGGUGGUAGAAAUCCCAGAUAUGGGAUUAUAAACUGCUUGUUAAGCAUAUUCUUUUGCACAUCUACAGAUGCCAAGCCGGGCCGCAGUUAACGCAGGCUCAGAAGUGGGACUGCCCAGGCCCAUCCUGGCCCAUCCGUCUCCUAACUGGGGAGACUGCAGGCCUUCUGUGCUGCUUCCUCUGAGAUGUGGAUGAUAAUCAUACCUGUCUCAUCUGACUAUAAUGAGUCCUAAGCAUAUAGUUUUAGAUUAUAUUGUUUUAUUUCUAAGUAUUUUGGUGGAUUAUAUUGUUUUAUUUUUGCCCUGUUUAUAUCAAUCAAAUUUGAAAACCAAAGGAUUGACAUUUUAUUUAUGGUUGUUUUAUAAUUCCGUCUUCCUGGGAAGGCAAGGGCAAACUGCGACGACUCUGAGAAUCAUGAGAUUCAUGUUAGAGCCGGGUGGCCGGCAGCAUCCCCUGGGGAAAGGCACAGGCUGUCUGUCUGCCCACUUUCCUCUGUCCCCCUCCCCUGUCCACUGCUCCUUUACACAGUGAAGUCCUGUGGUGCUGAAGAAGCAGCUGUCACCUUCUAUUUAACUUAACCGAGAGAUGCCUUGGGGUCUUGGAUGGGUUUCAGCACAUCAGUGAAGAUCGUAAGUAGUUUGAUUGCUUAAGCAGAGAUUCACACAAUCCACAGAAGAUCGAACAACCCAGCUUUAGGGGACAGACUUAUUUAGGAAGUAAACCAGAUUGUAAGAGCCUCCUGCCAUUCCUGGGGACAGCUUUCUGAAUCUGGGAUUUCUACCACCAGAUUGAAGGACAGGGACAAGUGUUUCCAGUCAGAGACAAAGUCUGCGAGUCAGCCCUGGAGACCCUGAAAACAUCAGUUCAAAGCGCCCGUGGUAUACGCCGCCGUGCUGGCAGGUCCGCGUUGUGGCACUGGAUCCUGUGCAGGCCCAUCCAAGGGGUGAAGCCACGAGGCAGAAGCCCUGAGGCUGACAGGUGGUUUAUCCUGUGACACACUUCCCUCCAUGGCACCCAAGGUGGAGCUCAGGAUACCGACCCAGGAACUGUCUCGCUCCCGUGCCUGCUGUCACCAGUUCAAAUCAAAUGUUAACCAGAUGGACGUAUUUCAGACGGAAUGCACUUGGUAACCGGCAAGCCAUUAUCUAAAUCACCAUCCCUGUGGUCUGUGUGUGUGCGCGUGUGAUAACUUACAAAGAUUCUGUAAGAGCAUAUGUGAAAAUGCACGUAUGUACCUUCACAUUCACACACUUACAUACACAAAGCCCUUAUACUGAUUUUUUGAAAAUGAUAUUUCGGUAUUUAAGAAUACAUAAAAAGCUUUCUUGUUGAUCACAUAAGAGAACUAAUGGUAGUUAGUUAAUAAAAUGUUGGCUGGCGCAGUGGUGCAUGUCUGUAAUCCUAUCAGCUGGGGAGGCUGAGGU